RNAcentral lists this long non-coding RNA (593 nucleotides) under Androctonus crassicauda. The record is from RNAcentral. Lineage: Eukaryota; Metazoa; Arthropoda; Arachnida; Scorpiones; Buthidae.
UUGUACAUUCAAAUAUGCAAAUAUGAGGAAGAGAAAGAUUAAUGUAAGUCAAAGUAUGAUUAUGACAUGCAAGAUAUGUUUUUUUCCUGGAAUAAAUAAACAAGCAAACAAAAAGAACAAGGGGCUCACAAAUUACAGACAAAUUUAACAAAGGACUUAUGUGAGGCCCCUAAAGCUUACCACUGGGUAUAAAUAAAGCAAAUCUGGAGCUGCAGAUUAAUAUAUAACAACAAUAACAUCAUGUCUGUAUCUAUGUAACAGGAUGGACAAUACUUGAAGAGAAACACUUAUCAUCAAUCAGAAUUGCCAUACAUCUCUAUCUCUCUAUACUAUAUCAGUUUCCUAUAUAGUAAUUAUUUUCUUUGUACAUGUGCCUCUUAUAUAGAUUCUUAAACUUGUAUAUUCUUAGGUAUUCAUCCACUUGGUUUCUCCUUACUCUUUCCUUUGCCAUCUUCUCUCAUGUUUACCUUCUAUACAUCCAGCAUAUAUUGUUUCGUUACUCGCUCUUUACUUAUUUCCUCUAUAUGAUUAAACCCUUGUGGCUAUCCUCUGGCAACAUUGCCAAAAGUUGAUUCAUCUGGCGACAUUACCAA